Molecule: ribosomal RNA, 119 nt
Organism: Lupinus angustifolius (narrow-leaved blue lupine)
Lineage: Eukaryota; Viridiplantae; Streptophyta; Magnoliopsida; Fabales; Fabaceae
Source: Rfam
AAGUGCCAUCAUAUUAGCACUAAUGCACCGGAUCCCAUAAGAACUCCACAGUUAAGUGCGCUAGGGCGAGAGUAGUACUAGGAUGGGUGACCUCCUAGGAAGUCCUCGUGUUGCACCUC